Molecule: ribosomal RNA, 120 nt
Filed under: uncultured bacterium
Lineage: Bacteria
Description: partial 16S ribosomal RNA
Rfam family: Bacterial small subunit ribosomal RNA
Source: RNAcentral
CACGCCGUAAACGAUGAAUGCUAGGUGUUGGGGGUCAAACCUCGGUGCCGAAGUUAACACAUUAAGCAUUCCGCCUGGGGAGUACGGUGGCAACACUGAAACUCAAAGGAAUUGACGGGG